RNAcentral lists this ribosomal RNA (253 nucleotides) under uncultured bacterium. RNAcentral's name for it is "partial small subunit ribosomal RNA". It matches the Rfam family "Bacterial small subunit ribosomal RNA", at positions 26 to 285 of the family's 1533-position model. The record is from RNAcentral.
AGGACGAACGCUGGCGGCGUGCUUAACACAUGCAAGUCGGGCGGAAAGGCCCUUCGGGGUACUCGAGCGGCGAACGGGUGAGUAACACGUGAGUAAUCUGCCCCUAGCUCUGGGAUAGCUCCGGGAAACCGGGAUUAAUACCGGAUAUGACCACUUUAGACAUCUGUUGUGGUGGAAAGAAUUUCGGCUAGGGAUGAGCUCGCGGCCUAUCAGCUUGUUGGUGGGGUAACGCCUACCAAGGCGACGACGGGUA